Long non-coding RNA from Peromyscus leucopus (white-footed mouse), 1739 nucleotides. RefSeq lists it as uncharacterized. NCBI's taxonomy places the organism in Eukaryota, Metazoa, Chordata, Mammalia, Rodentia, Cricetidae. The transcript is spliced from 2 exons. The record is from RefSeq and is a predicted model, not a curated record.
AUCAGAACUAUUCAGAUACCCAUCAUCUGUGAGUGUAAAUGUACAAUGUAGUCCGGGCUUUCCAUGGAAUCUUGUUCAGUAAGAAAUAAUACAUGCGAUCAUUUGUGACUUAGUCAACCUUCUCUUAUUCAAACAAAUCCCUGACACAAUCACCUUACAGGGAGGAAAGGAUUAUAUUGGCACCUGGUUGAGGAUUUUCUAGUUUCCUGGCCUCAUUGCUUUGUGUCUGAAGUGAGGCAGCCUGUGGAUUAGAGAGCUCCUUUUGGAGGAAGCUGUUUACCUUGGAGACACUGGGAAGCACUGGGUGAAGCUAUUGGCUGCUUCACCACCAUCCUGUCGUCCAGUGCUGGGGAUCCAAGCCUUUAGUGCAUGGACUGGGGAACUUGAUGAACAGGCACGGCUUAUAGGCCAAACACCCCACAAGUCCAUUUUUUUGUGCACUGGGUUUACAAGGUUUGUGCACUUCAUUGACUGGUCUGUCCAUCUGUCCUGCCCACUGUGUUCUUCCAUCUAAGGAAUGUUCAGUUUCUUCUUAAAUGUCCUGGGUGAUCUUUUCUUAUAUUAGCAUUAUCUGGGAAACUAAACAUGUGAAUGCAAUGUAGUAUGCUUGUAUGUGUACACACUUGUACGUGUGUGUUCAAGAGUGUGUGUGUUUAGGAGUGUGUGUGUGUCUGUGUGCAUAUGAGUGUUCAACCCUGCACUAAGAACAUAAUCUUCUACUAAACAGAAGCAGGAAAGAUUGGAGGAGAGACUGCAAUACCUGCUGAAGCAGAGAGAUCUGGUCACCAAGCACAAGGUCUUGGCAGAAAAGCUGCAGCAUUACUUCACUGUCUCCCAGAUGAGCACCACUUAAGAGAACUCCACUCUAGCAUCAACACCUCCUCAACAAAAGACAUCUUGUAGCUGUGAACUAACCAGUGAGGAAAAUCCCAACCUACAAGCAGCGGAUCCAUGUGUCUGUUGGUGCAUUAUUCCAGGAGAAGAUAAAUCAUCAGAAAGAAGCUUGAGCGACAGAGGACCUGCCAAGAUUACUCAGAACCCAGCCAUCUAUUAACAAGUGGUCCUCAAACGGGGCACAGCAGCAUGGGGAGGGUAUGUUGGUGAGCCAGAGUUACUCUGUCAGUGUACUCUCCAUGUCUUUAGUAAGCUGUCUGAGUCCUCCACAUGUGGUGAGAAACCUGACAAGAAAGCCUGCAUGGCUGUCAUGCUGUUAUCUAUACAUACCACAUGGAGAAGAAUAGGAUUCCCUCCCCAGAGCAAUGCUGAAGCCAACUCCAUGUCACGCGAAAGUGUUGCUGAAGAUGACGCACUGCAGAGACUACAGCACUCCCUCACACCUAUGUGAGUCAGUCAUCGGGUCUUCCAUAAAGAAAAGGACUAGGGAUUCUCCAGCUUCGCAGCCUGGACUGGCAUGACUGGUCCUGAGAAAGAACUUAUAGAGGAGGUCUGAGUCAUCUUUGUGCUUUGGAAAGCCAAAUGUGCUCCAUUGAUUUGUUGGGUCUAGAGUAGAAGAAGAUUUGUAGCUUAAAUUUUUGGAGAGGUCUUUUCUUUGCUGGGGUUUUGUUUGCUUGGUGUUUUUAGUUUAGUUUAGUUAGAAAUUUUGUUAUUUUUUGUUAAUUCUUUUAUUCUUGUCAGUGUUUUAAUAGUUGGCUAAAUAUAUACACUGCAUUUACUGACUGCCUUUUAAAAGUCCCCACUGAAGACUUUUUAUGAAUAAAAAAGCAAUUUCCAACUCUUCA